GCCAUUGUGUGGGGGGUUGUAUAUAUUCCUGUGCAUAAUGGACUGAGAAACGAGGUUCUAGUGGUGGAUAGUAAUGUUGCGAUGGGUCAUAUGGAGGGUGUGGGUAUGUCUGGUGAUAAGGACGGGGCUGACUGUAAUGAGAUGGUGCCAGAGGUCUGACCAAGGUUCCCCACUCCACUAUUGCUACUUCCUCUUUCUUCUUUUUCCCGAAAGCUCCCCCAGCUCCACCCUGGAUGACUUGUGUAGUCGCCUUAAUUUCCGAGUAGCUCAUGAUUUUAUUGGAUUUGAGGCCUUCCUC
This 298-nucleotide long non-coding RNA is filed under the name Nicotiana benthamiana. RNAcentral's name for it is "long non-coding RNA (NBEN_LNC036477)". Lineage: Eukaryota; Viridiplantae; Streptophyta; Magnoliopsida; Solanales; Solanaceae. The record is from RNAcentral.